GAGGCAGUGCAAUAGCCCACAGAAGAGCAUAGGGGGCGGCAGGGUGGGGGGUGCUUUGCCUGGGUCCUGAGGGGAGGAGCUAGCUGGAUGAGUCCUAAUCAAGGCGAGAGGUGAUCCUGCCUGACUCCGAGCCCAGUGGCCCCAGAGGAUGACAGCCUCCGCUGCAUGUACUGUAACCUCACAGAGGCAGGAAGAAGUGGGGAGGGCAAGGCCACCCAGCAGAGCUCCCUUGCCCAGACCUGACCACAUGGCCACUUUUCCUGCGCAGGAGCAUGUGAGCACAAGCAUCCAGCAAAGGAGAACAGACAGAGGCACAGCUGGAAGCCAUGUGCCAUGAGCCACUAGCAGUCGUGGGAAGAAUGCCUCCACCCUGAAGAGAGAUCUGGGCUGUAUAUUAGAGGGUCCACUCCACUUUUCUACCUAAUAGCAAUAGGUGAGGACAAUU
Mustela erminea (ermine) is the source of this 445-nucleotide long non-coding RNA. RefSeq lists it as uncharacterized. The record is from RefSeq and is a predicted model, not a curated record. The transcript has 3 exons. NCBI's taxonomy places the organism in Eukaryota, Metazoa, Chordata, Mammalia, Carnivora, Mustelidae.